UCUUUCCCAAAGCUGGGCACUUGGUGGAAGAGGACAACCCUGUCCCAAUAGAGGAGGACCAGUCUUCUGUAAAGAGUGUACAAGUCACCGUGCUCCCCUGCUAGAUCCUCCGGACAAACACUCAGGGUGGAUCUCUCCCUCUUUCUCCCAUCAAGCAGACAAGAAAGUU
This 169-nucleotide small RNA is filed under the name Jaculus jaculus (lesser Egyptian jerboa). Its description in RNAcentral is "7SK RNA (ENSJJAG00000005560.1)". It matches the Rfam family "7SK RNA", at positions 116 to 248 of the family's 331-position model. From Rfam's summary of the family: 7SK was discovered as an abundant small nuclear RNA in the mid-70s but a possible function has only recently been suggested. Two independent studies have found that 7SK RNA binds the CDK9/cyclin T complex (known as elongation factor P-TEFb). The record is from RNAcentral. Lineage: Eukaryota; Metazoa; Chordata; Mammalia; Rodentia; Dipodidae.